Molecule: ribosomal RNA, 237 nt
Filed under: uncultured bacterium
Lineage: Bacteria
Description: partial 16S ribosomal RNA
Rfam family: Bacterial small subunit ribosomal RNA
Source: RNAcentral
AGGUGUGGGUCUCAACCAACGAGAUCCGCGCCGUCGCUAACGCAUUAAGUGCCCCGCCUGGGGAGUACGGUCGCAAGACUAAAACUCAAAGGAAUUGACGGGGGCCCGCACAAGCAGCGGAGCGUGUUGCUUAAUUCGAUGCAACGCGAAGAACCUUACCUGGGUUUGACAUGUCCGGAAAAGCUCUAGAGAUAGGGUGUCCUUCGGGGCCGGACACAGGUGGUGCAUGGCUGUCGU